Orcinus orca (killer whale) is the source of this 3867-nucleotide long non-coding RNA. RefSeq lists it as uncharacterized. The record is from RefSeq and is a predicted model, not a curated record. The transcript has 2 exons. NCBI's taxonomy places the organism in Eukaryota, Metazoa, Chordata, Mammalia, Artiodactyla, Delphinidae.
UAUAUUAAAAAAAAAAAGAACUAUAUGAGACACCUUAGCUUUCCCGAAAUACUUUAGGGGAUAAGUGGCACUCCAGCCUGGUCCUGUCCAGGACUCUUACUGUUUCGUUGGGCCCUCUGUUGAUCACAUGAGCAUUUUAUAUGGAAAUACAGAGACCGCCUCUGUAGAGUCUCCUUCCAGGCAUGUGACCCUGCGGAAGGGGCUCUCGUUGUUUUGCAAAUUUGGAAAUGAAGCACCUGAGGCCUCUCUGUUGGGGCCGAUGGGGCGCAGGCAGCAGCCUGGUGGGGUCGGAAGUGCGGCUCCAGGAGCAAAGUAGGAGCGUCCCUCUGGCCCCCCAAGCCCCUCUCCCGCACUGGCCUUGCUCAAUAAGCAUUUAUUGAGCUCCAGGGGCUGGGGUCAGAGAUGACCGAGAUGCUGUUCCUGCCGCUGUCACCCAUUCAACAAACAGUGCCUCUGCGCCGUGCCGGGAGCUCCCAAAACUGGGGAACGGGCGUUUGGGGCUAUGGGGGCACUGGAGGGAACUCGGCUCAGAGGAGAGAAGCUGCUAGAGGUUUUCUGGAGUAAGGAACCUCCAGGAUUACGUUAGUCUUGCUAAGGAAUUUGGACUUUAUUCUGAGGGCGUUGGAGAGCCCCUGAAAGGUUUCUUAAAGGGUGAACUAAGAAAUUUGCAUUUUACAACAAGACUUUACAAAUUGAAACGCUAAGGAGAGCGGAUUGGCAACACUUCAAAUUCAGAUUGGUAAUUUAACCCAGGUGGCCUGUGAUGAGGGUCAAAGCUAUUCUUAAUCACAUUUGGAGGGAAUUUUAAGUGAUAACAGCUCUUUUUGUAGGGCUGUUUGGCAGUCUGUUAAAAUUGUGUAUAUCUCCCUUCUUGCUUGAUAGCCAUGUGUUUUCUUUUUACCAAGAGACAUGUACUACCUGUUCAUUACAGCACUGUCAGCUUUGUUGUGAUAUUUAAAAACUGAAAACGUAAUUGCUCAUCAAUUUGCAAACUGAUUAACCGGUAAUAUGCCCAUAGUAUACAAUAUUAUGCAGCAGUUUAAAAGAGAAUGAGGUCGAACUAUACUGAUAUGAGCCUGUCUCCAGUUGUUAAUUGGAUUGUUAACUGACAAAAAUCAAGUUCAACAGAACAUACAGUGAAUUCCCAUUUAUGUUAAAAACGAAAAACCAAAACGCCUGAUUUCUGUAUGUUAAAAUAGGUAUGUAAGUGCACCGGGGAAGAAUUCUAAAUUUAAAACAAGCCAUUCCCCUUAGGGAUUCCCCUAGGGUGGGAGCAACAAGGAUAAUAUAUUAUUGGAAAGUUUUACAGUGUGACUGUGUUCAUGUACUGUGUUGUCUCUGUGUUGCUAUAGUUAUCCAUGCACAAUCCUGUAUGGUUUUGCUGUCUAAUAGUGGGUAGGAAGAAAGGAAGAGGAAAUGGAUUACCAGAGUGAGAAUGUGGACAAGACCCUUCAGGUGGCUGUGACUGUCUUCCACGGGAGAGAACAAGUUGGCAUCUUCCUGUGGUCAUUUACCUCAGGAUCCAGAUGCUGGAUACUUAGUAAAUGUUCAGUGAGUAAUUUACCACCAUGGAAGUGUCUGGAGUGCUUGUUCUCAAGAUGGAGGAGAUUUUGCCCCCAGGAGACAUAUGAUCUUUUCACAACUAGGUAGAGGGGCUACUGGCAUCUAAUGGAUGGAGGCCUAGGCCUGGGAAGCCCAGGAGAGCCCCCAUGAUGAAGUGGGCCAAAUUAAUAGUGCCAGCGGUGAGAACCCUGAUGUAGUCAUCUAAGGGAGAGCACCCGGCCUCCUACUAGUCUUUCUACUGGCAAACAAAUUCUGCAAACCCUGCAGAACACAACUUCAACCUUUUGUUUCUGCCAAUUCUCCCAAAGGUCUGAGAAUGGAGGUGGAAAUGAAACGGAGCGAGACUCUGUGGGGCCCUUCCUGGUACAAAUCCUUUCCAUGUCUCAUUUCUUAUUUGCUGGAAAAAGACUUCGGCCUCCUUGGCCUUUCUUGAGUUCCAAAGGGGAGGUUCAAACAGUUGCUAGUCAGGGAAGGGAGGGAAUGCAGAGAUAAAGGAGAAGUCAAGAAACAAUAGUGCAGCCUUGGGGCAGGGUCUUAGUUCUUCCUGAAGGAAGAUACAUAACAAUAUCUUUGAGUUCUUCUGCAGGAACUAAGGCCCCUCCGCCCAGGUGGAAGAUGAUAACUUCAGGCUGAGCACAAGAUUCCUGGAACUGGGACUUCCCUGGUGGUCCAGUGGUAAAGAAUCCACCUUUCAGUGCAGAGGACACAGUUGGAUCCCUGGUCAGGGAACUGAGAUCCCACAUGCUGCAGGGCAACUAAGCCACAACUAUUGAGCUUGUACGCCUCAGUGAGAGAGCCCGCAUGAUGCAAACUACAGAGCCCAUGUGCCCUGGAGCCCGCGCACCACAACUAGAGAGAGAAGAAACCCGCAUGCCACAACUAGAGAAACCUGCACGCCAAGAGCCCAGGCACCUUAACGAUGCAUGCCUCAACUAAGGAAAUAAACUGAGGUUUGAAGAGGUUAAUUGUCCAAAACAGCCAGGAAUUGAACACAGGUUUGUCUGGAUUAUCUCACUGAACACAGCUUUAAAUCCUGGAAGCCUAGAGUAGUUUGGCAGAAAAUAAAGGAACAAAAGGAACAAAAGUAACAAAUGUCCUCUGACCUUUGGCUGUAGUGCUGGGAGUCCACUAAGGCAUGCUGGGGACUGUGGUGACCCAAAGAGUUCGUGCCUUGUCUAAACAGUCCCUAGCAUUCAUUAGUGUUGUUUUCUGACAAUGCUGUUUCUCCUCCUUCCAGAUGCCUGGCAAGAUUCUACUUUACGGUAGCCUUUAAAGACAGGCAUGAAUGGGAAUUCCCUGGUGGUCCAGUGGUUAGUGUAAGGCCAACUGGCCCGAGGCAGGGGAACACAAUCAGAUUCACAGGUUGCAUCAGACCAAAACUCUCCGGACCACCCAGUUCCAGAAACUGACCUGGAGACUUUGAACCCAGCCCAGCCUUCCCAGAUUCACCACACCCCUUUCCCUUCUUCCCCUAUAAAAUCUUGCCCAACCCUCGCCCGCGUGCGACUUCUCUGGCCCCUUUCUCUCGGACCCGUGAACCUCGCCCGGGAGCGCUCCCUAAUAAAGCUCACUUGAAGCUUUCCUCUGUUUCGCGGUGCUGUUUGUUAAGAUCCAACCUUACAGUUAGGACUCCACACUUUCAUUGCUGAGGGUGUGGGUUCAAUGCCUGGUCAGGGAACCAAGAUCCCACAAGCUGAGCAGCUAAGAUAAUAAUUUAAAAAAAAAAUAGGCAUGACCAUGUGCUCUGCUUUGACCAAAGCAAUGUGAGCAGAAGUGACAGAGAUCUCUUCCAGGCAGUCUUUGGAGCUGGUGAUUAUUUUGCCAAGGUCUUCCCUCCCCACCCCACCCCAAUAUUCAAUGUUGCCCCAUAUGGAUAGUCUCUCUCGAUGUGGAUCCCUGGGGAAAAACAAUUUGCACAGAGCCAUUCCUCCAAGGUGCCCAACCUGCAGUGGGCAUAGGGCAUGAGCAAGAAAUAAAUCUGUUGUUUCAAGCCAUUGAGGUUUGGGGAUUCUUUGUUACCACAGCAUUACCUGACCUAUCCUGCCAAUUAUAGAUAGGUUUCCAGAUCUUCCAGUUUUCCAGGAGCUACUCAAAAUCUGGGUCAUCACGUGACAUCACUCAGCAUUCUUUUUUUCUUAACAUUGUAUUAAUGGUAUAAAAAUGUUUUGCUCUCACUUUAAAAAAUAAUGAAAUAUUCUUUCUAAGAGUACUAUAACUGAAUUCAUUCUUUUUUAAACAUUAUUUGGAAUCUUAAUUUGUUAAAUGCUUUUCUUAGUUCUUGUAAUAAAGAAGCAACUAAUUUCA